This 547-nucleotide ribosomal RNA is filed under the name uncultured bacterium. RNAcentral's name for it is "bacterial SSU rRNA". It matches the Rfam family "Bacterial small subunit ribosomal RNA", at positions 355 to 896 of the family's 1533-position model. The record is from RNAcentral.
UGGGGAAUAUUGCGCAAUGGGGGGAACCCUGACGCAGCCAUGCCGCGUGAAUGAAGAAGGCCUUCGGGUUGUAAAGUUCUUUCGGUAUUGAGGAAGGUUGAUGUGUUAAUAGCACAUCAAAUUGACGUUAAAUACAGAAGAAGCACCGGCUAACUCCGUGCCAGCAGCCGCGGUAAUACGGAGGGUGCGAGCGUUAAUCGGAAUAACUGGGCGUAAAGGGCACGCAGGCGGUUAUUUAAGUGAGGUGUGAAAGCCCCGGGCUUAACCUGGGAAUUGCAUUUCAGACUGGGUAACUAGAGUACUUUAGGGAGGGGUAGAAUUCCACGUGUAGCGGUGAAAUGCGUAGAGAUGUGGAGGAAUACCGAAGGCGAAGGCAGCCCCUUAGGAAUGUACUGACGCUCAUGUGCGAAAGCGUGGGGAGCAAACAGGAUUAGAUACCCUGGUAGUCCACGCUGUAAACGCUGUCGAUUUGGGGGUUGGGGUUUAACUCUGGCGCCCGUAGCUAACGUGAUAAAUCGACCGCCUGGGGAGUACGGCCGCAAGGUUA